This 1826-nucleotide long non-coding RNA is filed under the name Bactrocera tryoni. RNAcentral's name for it is "uncharacterized LOC120781591". The record is from RNAcentral. Lineage: Eukaryota; Metazoa; Arthropoda; Insecta; Diptera; Tephritidae.
GAACACCGGCUAACAUGAACAUAAUUUUUUUUACACUGACUACUCGGUAGCGUGAACACGGUGAGAAAGCCCUAUAACGUGAACAAAUUUAAAAUGCAUUUAAAACGUUAUUUUCUUUUCUACAUGCAUACAUAUGUUUGUUAAUUAUGCGAAUCGUUUUUAUAAAACGGGGAAUACCCGUAAAUUAUUGCUUAUGAGUAUACUGGGGUGGAUCGAUGUGGAUGCUUAGCAAACCAGUACAGUGUUGCAAAAUCAACAAUUUGCGCUAUCAACAAAAAAAAGAGAACAUUUUAAAAUGUGUUAACAGUACAUUUGCUGGGCCUGGAAAGCGGAAGACUUUGAAGUGUUCUGAACUUCCUAAAAUGGAAAAAGCGCUUUACAGUUGGUUCCUUAAACAGCGACAAAAAAAUGACCCUGUCAAUGGAUUGAUAGUUAAAGAAAAAGCUAAAUUUUUUCAUUCAAUAAUUAAAGAAACUCAAAGUGAUUUUAAUGCGAGUGAUGGAUGGUUGCAACGCUUUAAGAAGCGUUAUGGUGUGCGUUUUAUUAAAAUAAGUGGAGAAAAGUUAAGUUAGUUAGUUAGUUAGUUAACUCGGCUAUAAUCGCUUAAGCGGUUUCUACGCCAAUUAAGAAGAAGAAGAAGGAGAAAAGUUAUCUUCUAGACCUAAACUUGUGGACCCUUUCAAAAACAAGCUGCAAGCCAAAGUUAAAGAGCUAGGUCUGUCGCACCAUCAAAUAUAUAAUGCAGACGAACCGGGACUAUUUUGGAAGCUGCUACCUGACAAAACAUACGUAUCCUCACAAGAAAAAAAUGCUCCUGGAAGAAAAACGGAAAACAGCGUGUCACUUUUCUGGCUUGUACAAACGCAACAGGGGUGCAUAAAGUUAAACUUCUUGUUAUUGGAAAGGCAAAAAAUCCUAGCUCUUUUAAAAAUUUUGAUUCUCCUGUUGACUACAAUUGCUCCAAGUCGUCAUGGAUGACGGCUGCCAUUUUUAAACAUUGGUUUCACCAUUCGUUUGUACCACAGGUCAGGAAAUUUUUAAAAGAUCAAGGAUUGCCCAAUAAAGCUCUGCUGUUGAUAGACAAUGCUCCAUCUCAUCCUCCCGAAAAUGAAUUGAGAUCAGAUGACGAGUUAAUAACUGCAAUGUUUAUGCCACCUAAUGUCACUCCACUCAUACAGCCAAUGGAUCAAUAUGCCAUACGUCUUACAAAACUUUUCUACAGAAACAGUCUUUUGGCAUCAAUUGUAGCCACAGGGACUGAUGUUAUUGAAGCCCUAAAGAAAUUGACGUUAAGAGACGCUAUUGGCUAUUUAGAUUUAGCUUGGUAACGUCUUGAAAAGGAAACAAUAGCAAAAUACUGGACGAACAAUUUAAGCUCUAUAGAAGAUGAAAAAGACAGUGAUGAGGAUAUUCCAUUAGCUACUUUGAGAGAAAGGAUUUGUUUACCAAUUAACAGCCAACAAGAACGCGCAAUAGAACUGCUUCAUGCAAUUAAUCCAGAGGUUAGUUUUUCAAUUGCUGAUGUCAACGAUUGGACUGAAGAUUUUCCUAACUCAACCGAAACGAACGAGGUUUUAACUAGUGAUGAAAGUGAAAGCGAGGAUAGUAAUCUGGAAAGACCACAUACAAGAAUAGAGCCUAGUGAAGUAAUCAACAUUUUUAAUAAAGCUUUGGAAUGGGCGGAAGAUGAAAAUAUAAGUCCAACAGAUAUCAGCGUACUUAAACGUCACCGCGAAAAAGCCGUGUUCAGCAAUUUGCAAAAAAAGAAAAUCCAAAAAAAGAUAACCCAUUUUUUCCAAUAAUUUCAAUGGGUAUUUUUUUUCUUA